UGUUAGGAUAUUUCCGUUCCACCUUAAAAGGGAGCAGGCUGUGAGUCACAGAGUCUGCGUAUUUCCUGUUCACAGGAUGUUUAUGUUUUAUGUUGCUUUCGUUUUCUCUCUCUGUGUCGUAGACACUAAAGCAGGCAGUCAUGUUUUUCUGUGUUCUGAUCAACGCUGAAUAAACUUGUAAAUAAUGCUCUCCUGAGUGCAACUUUUGGCCAUGCAUUAUCUGCUGAUAGAGUGUGCAUGAGCUCUGGAAUGUGGCAAGAUAUUUUCUAGAAACUCAUGUCGCUGCGUGCCUACGGGAGGUCGAUGGAUCGUCCGGCAGACGGCUUGGGGGCCUUGAUGGACUUUAUCUCCCUGGCAGUAUCCCAACAACAGGUUAUGGGCCCAGAUUCACAGCACUUACAGGAGAGUAAGACUGCGACGGACUGCUGAAAGGUAUGUGGAAGAAAAGCGAAAGUGAGGCUUUUCUGUUUGCCGCGGCAAGAGCUUUUGAUGUCCUGCAGGCCUAAUUGGUCUGGGCAUCGAGCCCAGCAGGCCUCAAGAUUUAUGGCUGCCGAGAUAAGACGUUUUUGAAGGCAUAAAGGCUCACGGCUCAAGUAGAAACCUGGAAUGGAGUUUUUCCAAGCUUCUGAGGCUGCUGAGUGCCCAAAGCUAAAUCGGCACAAUUAUGGGACCUGGGCUGUGUGGUGUGAGAGCUUGCUGCGUCAGUUUGGAGUGUGGCAUACUGUGUGCGAGGCCCCUCCAGUUCCUCUGACAGAUAGAUGGAAGGCCGAAAAUUCGAAGGCGAUAGACGUAAUAGUCUUGUCCGUCUCUCUGGAGGAAAUAAAAACGCUUGCUGGCAACACCACUGCACGUAAGAUGUGGCAUGCUUUGAAGACAGCCCAUUUGCCAGUCAUCCCAGCCCAGAGUUUGACUGCAUCGGAGGUCCUGGCUGUUUCCCAGAAUGCGAGUGAAUGCAGGGAUGCUGAGGGCACCGGUUGCAAGCUGCAGUGGGAGCUGACUGUCACGUCAUCCCAGGCAGCAUUCCAGCCUCCAGGGGAGCCAAGGAGUCGGCAGCUGAGAGCUCUGUUUCUCAUGGGAGCCAAGGUCAUCGCCUUUGCAGAGGCCGGAAGGGCAAAGGUAAACAGAGGCAGACGCCUGCAGAUGGCCAGAAGCAGAGGGAGGGUGAAGAGCCCACACCAGAGAAAAACAAGGCAUUGUUUGCUGGCACAGCUUCACCAAAGGCUAAAGGCAAGUCUGAUGGCCAGGAGCAGGGGGGCAAGCUGCAAAAGCCCACGCCAGUGGAAAACAAGGUUUUGUUUGCUGGCACAGCUUCACCAAAGGCUAAAGGCAAGUCUGAUGGCCAGGAGCAGGGGGCAAGCUGCAAAAGCCCACGCCAGUCGAAAACAAGGUUUUGUUUGCUGGCACAGCUUCACCAAAGGCUAAAGGCAAGUCUGAUGGCCAGGAGCAGGGGGGCAAGCUGCAAAAGCCCACGCCGGUGGAAAACAAGGUUUUGCUUGCCAGAAAGACUGCUCCAGAUGCCAAAGCCAGGUUUGUUGUUGAUUCAGGCUGUACCCGCCAUGUCUCAAAAGACCGCCAUCUCUUUAUCUCCUUCAAACCUCAAGAAGGUGAGAUCCACCUGGCUGACGGAAAGACGUUGCGAAUCGCAGGAGAAGGGACUUUGAAACUGGCAAGUCUGCACACAACCAUCAAAGAUGUACUGUAUGUUCCAGGCGCUGCAGACAAUUUGCUCAGUGUCCCACAGCUGACUGGGCGUGGUUUUGAGAUUUCCUUCAAGAGGAGCGUCUGUGUCAUCAGAAAAGGCAAAGAGGACAUUUUGCAUGCAAAGUUUAUGGAUGGCUUGUUCUGUAUAACUUAUGAUGACAUUGGUGCUGUUGUGUCUAAUGUUGAUUCUUGUUGUGUUGCACAAACUAACAAAGUUCUUCAUGCAGGAUGCAUUCACGAUGCACACAGAAGGUUUUGUCAUCUCUCUUGGAAGGCACUGGCCAAGAUGCCAGAGAUGGUUGAGGGUUUGAACAUCAAACCCUGUAAGUUUCGCAUGAAAUGUGUAUCUUGUGCAGAGAACAAGGUGAAGGUUGCUCCAAAAGGCAAAGAGUCUAGCAGGCAGGCUUCCAAACCCUACCAGCUAGUGCACGCAGACCUGGUUGGUCCACUUGUGCCCUCUUUGGGUGGAGCAAGGUACUUCAUGGUUCUAAUUGACUCUUUUUCCAGGUACAUUCAUGUGUUUAUGCUCGAGCAGAAAUCGCAAGCGUUUCCUAAGUUCAAGGCAUUCUGUGCUUGGUUGGAGAAUGUUCACAGUAAACGCAUUGGUUGUUUGUUUACUGAUUGAGGCAGGGAGUUCACUUCUCAGCAGUUUGAAGCUUUCCUGACUGAGAAGGGAAUCCAGCAUGACUUGUCAACGCCUAGAUCGCCAUGGAUGAAUGGGCUUGCGGAGCGAGCAAAUCAAACGUUGCUGCAAGGAAUGAAAACAUUGUUGCAUGAUGCCAAUCUCCCUGAUAAGUUUUGGGGGGAGGCUCUGUCGAAUUUUGCUUACACUUAUAAUCGCAGAUUGUCAUCACCUUUUGAUUGUACUCCCUAUGAGAAGAUGUUUGGUAAGAAACCCAACAUCAAACACAUGAGAAUCUUUGGUUCUGACAUGUGGGUACACACCCCACAGAGCAACAAGCUUGGGAAGCAUGGGGCACAUGGUUUGUUCAUGGGGUACGAAAAAGGUGCAUACAGGGUGUGGAUGACCAACUCUAAGUCCAUUAAGUUCACAAAGAGUGUUGAGUACAAUCCUAAGUGGGGGGGAAAUGUGGGAAUUUUCCAGAGUUACCCAGAGGAGGAUGAAGGUGAUGUCAAAGAAGCAGCUAAAGCUGAGGAAGCUGCUGAGGAUGAUGAUGACGAUGAUGAUCAGAGUUCGGAUUCCAGUUCAGUGGGCGGCGCUGCUGCUGGUGUCAGUGACAGUGAUGACACAGCAGACUACAAGAGCGCAAAGGCCUCAGUCAGACCAUCUGAUGCGUCUGACAAUGAACUGGAAGAACCACUGUUCACCAUUGGUCACUUUUCUCCUAAGAAGGAGGAGAUGAGUCCAGAAGACUUGCGUCUAGUACGCAGAUCUGAAAGAGCCACAAAGGGCAAACCUCCAAAGAGAUUUGCUGAUGAGUUUGCUAAGACAGCAACUGCUGUUCUUAGUAGCUCAGAGAAGGUGUGGGAACCUUCAAGCUUCAAAGAGGUUCAGGAGUUAACCUCUAAAGAUGCUGAGCCUUGGCUUAAUGCCAUGAAGGCUGAAGUUGAUUCCUUGAAUAGGAACCAAACUUGGGAACUGGUACCGGUAGUCCCAGGAAUGAGACUGGUUGGCAGCAAAUGGGUCUUCAAGGCCAAGACAGACCAGAAUGGCAAGGUUGUCAGACACAAAGCCAGAUUGGUUGCCAGAGGUUUUUCACAGGUACCAGGACAGGAUUACCACGAGACCUAUUCACCCACAGUCAAAUAUGAAAGCAUUCGGCUGAUGCUCAAGAUAGCUGCAGAGGAGAAACUGCAUGUUUCCCAUCAUGACAUUAAUACAGCUUUUUGUACGGGAUUCUGGGGGAGGAGCUGUUUAUGCUUCCACCUGACGGGAUGCAGAUACAGAAGGGAAUGGUCUGUAAACUGCGGAAAUCCUUAUAUGGUCUCAAGCAGAGUGCCAGGUGUUGGAACACAAAGCUCACUGAGACAUUGCUUUCUCUAGGUUUUCACCAGGGCAAAGCUGAUCCAUGUGUGUUUGUCAAGGAGGAGGGGCAAAACAAACUGUAUUGUUUAUGUUUUGUUGAUGAUCUUCUGAUGUUUUGGAAGAAUCAGGCUUUCUACCAAAGCACCCUAGCUCAGCUGAAGGAGCACUUUGACAUGAAGGAUCUUGGUGAGGUAUCCAACUAUCUUUCUCUGCAGGUGGAGAGGGACCAAGCAGGUAAUUUUCUGGUACACCAAACACAGAAAAUUGCUGAUGUAUUAACCAGGUUGAAUUUGGUUGAUGCAAACCCAGCAGACACACCGAUUGUGACAGGUUACCAGGUAGAUAGUACUGCUGAAGCGUUUUCUGACACAACGCUGUACAGAUGCAUUCUAGGCAAGUUGAAUUUCAUUGCUAGAUGCUCAAGACCUGACAUAGCUGUAAGCUGUAACCUGCUUAGCAGACAUGCUAAAAAUCCUACUGUUCAGGAUUGGAAAGCUCUGAAGCGCAUAGCCCGCUAUUUGAAAGGGACUAUGCACUACAGGCUGAGGUUCACCAGUCAGAAGACUGGAGGUCUUGAAAUCUUUGCAGAUGCAAGUUUUGGAAAUGACACCACGGAUGGUACAAGCACUUCUGGAGUAUGCUACAUGUACAACCACUGUCUGUUUGACUGGUUGUGCAAGAAGCAGACGACAGUGAGCAUAAGUUCCUGUGAAGCAGAACUCAAUGCUCUGUCAUUUUCACUCAUGGAUUGUGAAUGGUUGAUGCAACUGUUUAAGGACAUCAGAGUUUCUGUGAAAUGUCCUGUACAAGUGUAUCAAGACAAUAGAUCGUGUUUGGCUUUGCUGAACUCAGAGAGUUGCAAGCAAAGGACCAAGUACUUGCAGAUUAAGCUACAUCGUGCAAGAGAGUGUAUUCAGAAAGGACUCAUUCAGGUGUCCUACAUGCCAGGAAAUGAAAUUCCUGCUGAUCUGUUGUCUAAUGUUGUUAACAGAGAACAACUUAAGGUUUACGUACAAAGGUUGCAAUUGGGUUGAACCACAGGUACUACAGGUUACACGGAAAGGGGAGGAUGUUAGGAUAUUUCCGUUCCACCUUAAAAGGGAGCAGGCUGUGAGUCACAGAGUCUGCGUAUUUCCUGUUCACAGGAUGUUUAUGUUUUCUGCUGCUUUCGUUUUCUCUCUGUGUCGUAGACACUAAAGCAGGCAGUCAUGUUUUUCUGUGUUCUGAUCAACACUGAAUAAACUUGUAAAUAAUGCUCUCCUGA
RNAcentral lists this long non-coding RNA (4952 nucleotides) under Podarcis lilfordi (Lilford's wall lizard). The record is from RNAcentral. Lineage: Eukaryota; Metazoa; Chordata; Lepidosauria; Squamata; Lacertidae.